Molecule: long non-coding RNA, 255 nt
Filed under: Struthio camelus australis
Lineage: Eukaryota; Metazoa; Chordata; Aves; Struthioniformes; Struthionidae
Description: lncRNA (ENSSCUG00000015580.1)
Source: RNAcentral
ACUAUCAGAAAAUUCCUGGAUAUGAACUGAAAGUACUGGACAUUUUGCCUAAACUGACCACAACUUACUGGAAGGAAAGGAUCAGAACUUUACGGCUGUCCUAUUGCUUGACAUUACUGAUGGCAAUGACACAGACAAGUUUGGCGACUUUCACACUCAGCUCCCCAGUUCUAUAAUGCACUUGUUGGCAGAACUCAAAGCCCUUUGGAAAGGAGGUCAGUAUCAUUCACUUCACUGUGUGAUAAAAACAUGGAG